AUGUUGGGUUAAGUCCCGCAACGAGCGCAACCCUUAUCCUUUGUUGCCAGCGGUCCGGCCGGGAACUCAAAGGAGACUGCCAGUGAUAAACUGGAGGAAGGUGGGGAUGACGUCAAGUCAUCAUGGCCCUUACGACCAGGGCUACACACGUGCUACAAUGGCGCAUACAAAGAGAAGCGACCUCGCGAGAGCAAGCGGACCUCAUAAAGUGCGUCGUAGUCCGGAUUGGAGUCUGCAACUCGACUCCAUGAAGUCGGAAUCGCUAGUAAUCGUGGAUCAGAAUGCCACGGUGAAUACGUUCCCGGGCCUUGUACACACCGCCCGUCACACCAUGGGAGUGGGUUGCAAAAGAAGUAGGUAGCUUAACCUUCGGGAGGGCGCUUACCACUUUGUGAUUCAUGACUGGGGUGAAGUCGUAACAAGGUAACCGUAGGGGAACCUGCG
RNAcentral lists this ribosomal RNA (444 nucleotides) under Escherichia coli. Its description in RNAcentral is "bacterial SSU rRNA". It matches the Rfam family "Bacterial small subunit ribosomal RNA", at positions 1072 to 1516 of the family's 1533-position model. Lineage: Bacteria; Pseudomonadati; Pseudomonadota; Gammaproteobacteria; Enterobacterales; Enterobacteriaceae. The record is from RNAcentral.